This 430-nucleotide long non-coding RNA is filed under the name Monodelphis domestica (gray short-tailed opossum). RNAcentral describes it as "lncRNA (ENSMODG00000038984.1)". Lineage: Eukaryota; Metazoa; Chordata; Mammalia; Didelphimorphia; Didelphidae. The record is from RNAcentral.
AUAGCUCUACAUAUUGUGACUGAGGCUGGCACAUAAGAAAAGUGCCAGGCUGAAGAGUGUGUGGAACUGAUCAUCUCAAUGGGGGAGUGUCCCCAGGAGUGGGGAAUCUGGAAGAGGAGAAGACUCUGACUGGGAAAGUUGGUCUCUCUCAGUCUUGAGAAGCCAAAGAGAGAAGUGGAAAAAGACUUUCUCCUGAAAGUUACCCACCUUUCCUGCUGAUGACUAGAAAACCCCAACACUUCCCAACUGAAGAGACCCAGAGAAGAAGAAGCCUGAGAAAGACAUUUUAAAUCUCUGCCUGACUUUACUUCAGCUCCUGUUGCCCUCAGUCUAAACUGUGGCCAAGGGGCUAAACCCAGGAUAAGAAAACUAAGAAAAGAAAAAUGUUGGGCUCAAGGUUAUCCAGCUGAUGACUGGUGGUUCAGGACAG